This 403-nucleotide ribosomal RNA is filed under the name uncultured Glomus. Its description in RNAcentral is "SSU rRNA". It matches the Rfam family "Eukaryotic small subunit ribosomal RNA", at positions 569 to 978 of the family's 1831-position model. Lineage: Eukaryota; Fungi; Glomeromycota; Glomeromycetes; Glomerales; Glomeraceae. The record is from RNAcentral.
AGCAGCCGCGGUAAUUCCAGCUCCAAUAGCGUAUAUUAAAGUUGUUGCAGUUAAAAAGCUCGUAGUUGAAUUUCGGGAUCAAUAUGUCGGUCGUGCCUCGGUACGUACUGGCAUCAUUGGUUUCUCCCUUCUGAAGAACCAUGAUGUCAUUAAUUUGGUGUCAUGGGGAAUCAGGACUGUUACUUUGAAAAAUUAGAGUGUUUAAAGCAGGCUCGCGCUUGAAUACAUUAGCAUGGAAUAAUGAAAUAGGACGUUUAAUUCUAUUUUGUUGGUUUCUAGGAUUGACGUAAUGAUUAAUAGGGAUAGUUGGGGGCAUUAGUAUUCAAUUGUCAGAGGUGAAAUUCUUGGAUUUAUUGAAGACUAACUACUGCGAAAGCAUUUGCCAAGGAUGUUUUCAUUAAUC